Molecule: ribosomal RNA, 19 nt
Filed under: Ceropegia arabica
Lineage: Eukaryota; Viridiplantae; Streptophyta; Magnoliopsida; Gentianales; Apocynaceae
Description: partial 26S ribosomal RNA
Source: RNAcentral
CAGCGACCCCAGGUCAGGC